AGCGAACGCUGGCGGCAGGCUUAACACAUGCAAGUCGAGCGGGCACUUCGGUGUCAGCGGCAGACGGGUGAGUAACACGUGGGAACGUACCCUUUGGUUCGGAAUAACGCUGGGAAACUAGCGCUAAUACCGGAUACGCCCUUUUGGGGAAAGGCUUGCUGCCGAAGGAUCGGCCCGCGUCUGAUUAGCUAGUUGGUGGGGUAAUGGCCUACCAAGGCGACGAUCAGUAGCUGGUCUGAGAGGAUGAUCAGCCACACUGGGACUGAGACACGGCCCAGACCCCAAGGGGAGGCAGAAGGGGGGAAAUUGGGAAAAGGGGCCAAAGCCUGACCCACCCAGGCCGGGGGGGUGAUGAAGGCCUUGGGGUUGUAAAGCUCUUUUGUCCGGGACGAUAAGGACGGAACCGGAAGAAUAAGCCCCGGCUAACUUCGU
RNAcentral lists this ribosomal RNA (432 nucleotides) under uncultured bacterium. RNAcentral describes it as "partial 16S ribosomal RNA". It matches the Rfam family "Bacterial small subunit ribosomal RNA", at positions 29 to 506 of the family's 1533-position model. The record is from RNAcentral.